AGCUCCAAUAGCGUAUAUUAAAGUUGCUGCGGUUAAAAAGCUCGUAGUUGGAUCUGGGUAGUCGAUGGACGGUGCGUCGUAAGGCGCUACUGUUCGUUCGGCACCACAGCCCGGUCAUGUCUUGCAUGCUCUUCAUUGAGUGUGCUUGGCGGCCGGAACGUUUACUUUGAAAAAAUUAGAGUGCUCAAAGCAGGCGUUAAGCCUUGUAUAAUGGUGCAUGGGAUAAUGGAAUAAGACUUUUUGCCUUGUU
Molecule: ribosomal RNA, 250 nt
Filed under: Eutardigrada environmental sample
Lineage: Eukaryota; Metazoa; Tardigrada; Eutardigrada
Description: partial small subunit ribosomal RNA
Rfam family: Eukaryotic small subunit ribosomal RNA
Source: RNAcentral